RNAcentral lists this transfer RNA (73 nucleotides) under Candidatus Colwelliibacteriota bacterium. RNAcentral's name for it is "tRNA-Ala". It matches the Rfam family "tRNA". Rfam says of the family: Transfer RNA (tRNA) molecules are approximately 80 nucleotides in length. Their secondary structure includes four short double-helical elements and three loops (D, anti-codon, and T loops). The record is from RNAcentral. Lineage: Bacteria; Candidatus Colwelliibacteriota.
GGGCCUGUAGUUCAGCUGGUAGAACACCCGAUUCGCAUUCGGGAGGUAGGCGGUUCGAGUCCGCCCAGGUCCA